Molecule: ribosomal RNA, 1404 nt
Filed under: uncultured Bacilli bacterium
Lineage: Bacteria; Bacillati; Bacillota; Bacilli
Description: bacterial SSU rRNA
Rfam family: Bacterial small subunit ribosomal RNA
Source: RNAcentral
ACGAACGCUGGCGGCGUGCCUAAUACAUGCAAGUCGAACGAGCUCUCCUAAAUUGAUUUUAUGCUUGCAUAAAUGAUUUUUAGAUUCGGAGCGAGUGGCGAACUGGUGAGUAACACGUGGGUAACCUGCCCCGAAGCGGGGGAUAACAUUUGGAAACAAAUGCUAAUACCGCAUAAUUAGUUGGAACCGCAUGGUUCCAACUUGAAAGAUGGCUCUGCUAUCACUUUGGGAUGGACCCGCGCCGUAUUAGUUAGUUGGUGAGAUAAAAGCCCACCAAGACGAUGAUACGUAGCCGACCUGAGAGGGUAAUCGGCCACAUUGGGACUGAGACACGGCCCAGACUCCUACGGGAGGCAGCAGUAGGGAAUCUUCCACAAUGGACGAAAGUCUGAUGGAGCAACGCCGCGUGAGUGAUGAAGGUUUUCGGAUCGUAAAACUCUGUUGUUAAAGAAGAACAAGUGUUAGAGUAACUGUUAACACUUUGACGGUAUUUAACCAGAAAGCCACGGCUAACUACGUGCCAGCAGCCGCGGUAAUACGUAGGUGGCAAGCGUUGUCCGGAUUUAUUGGGCGUAAAGCGAGCGCAGGCGGUUUUGUAAGUCUGCUGUGAAAGCCCUCAGCUCAACUGAGGAAGUGCAGUGGAAACUACAAAACUUGAGUACAGAAGAGGAAAGUGGAACUCCAUGUGUAGCGGUGAAAUGCGUAGAUAUAUGGAAGAACACCAGUGGCGAAGGCGGCUUUCUGGUCUGUUACUGACGCUGAGGCUCGAAAGCAUGGGUAGCGAACAGGAUUAGAUACCCUGGUAGUCCAUGCCGUAAACGAUGAAUACUAGGUGUUGGAGGGUUCCGCCCUUCAGUGCCGCAGCUAACGCAUUAAGUAUUCCGCCUGGGGAGUACGACCGCAAGGUUGAAACUCAAAGGAAUUGACGGGGGCCCGCACAAGUGGUGGAGCAUGUGGUUUAAUUCGAUGCUACGCGAAGAACCUUACCAGCUCUUGACAUCUUCUGCCAACCCAAGAGAUUGGGCGUUCCCUUCGGGGACAGAAUGACAGGUGGUGCAUGGUUGUCGUCAGCUCGUGUCGUGAGAUGUUGGGUUAAGUCCCGCAACGAGCGCAACCCUUAUUAUUAGUUGCCAGCAUUUAGUUGGGCACUCUAGUGAGACUGCCGGUGAUAAACCGGAGGAAGGUGGGGACGACGUCAAAUCAUCAUGCCCCUUAUGAGCUGGGCUACACACGUGCUACAAUGGAUGGUACAACGAGUCGCGAAACCGCGAGGUCAAGCUAAUCUCUUAAAGCCAUUCUCAGUUCGGAUUGCAGGCUGCAACUCGCCUGCAUGAAGUUGGAAUCACUAGUAAUCGUGGAUCAGCAUGCCACGGUGAAUACGUUCCCGGGCCUUGUACACACCGC